This 484-nucleotide ribosomal RNA is filed under the name uncultured bacterium. Its description in RNAcentral is "partial 16S ribosomal RNA". It matches the Rfam family "Bacterial small subunit ribosomal RNA", at positions 31 to 507 of the family's 1533-position model. The record is from RNAcentral.
AGGGAAAGCGGGGGGCAGGCCUAACACAUGCAAGUCGAGCGGAUGAAGGGAGCUUGCUCCUGGAUUCAGCGGCGGACGGGUGAGUAAUGCCUAGGAAUCUGCCUGGUAGUGGGGGAUAACAUCCGGAAACGGGCGCUAAUACCGCAUACGUCCUGAGGGAGAAAGUGGGGGAUCUUCGGACCUCACGCUAUCAGAUGAGCCUAGGUCGGAUUAGCUAGUUGGUGGGGUAAAGGCCUACCAAGGCGACGAUCCGUAACUGGUCUGAGAGGAUGAUCAGUCACACUGUAACUGAGACACGGUCCAGACUCCUACGGGAGGCAGCAGUGGGGAAUAUUGGACAAUGGGCGAAAGCCUGAUCCAGCCAUGCCGCGUGUGUGAAGAAGGUCUUCGGAUUGUAAAGCACUUUAAGUUGGGAGGAAGGGCAGUAAGUUAAUACCUUGCUGUUUUGACGUUACCAACAGAAUAAGCACCGGCUAACUUCGUG